This is a non-coding RNA of Pelobates cultripes (western spadefoot toad), 229 nucleotides long. Lineage: Eukaryota; Metazoa; Chordata; Amphibia; Anura; Pelobatidae. The record is from the annotation of a GenBank genome assembly.
GUGGAUGCUUUAGAAUUUUUUGAUCCAGGCCUGUAAGUAAGCAUGUAGUUAAACCAUGUAAAGAACAAGGACCUACGAGCUUGUCUGGCAGGUAACCUCUUUGCCUCUCCUACAUAAGACAGGCUUUUAUGGCCGGUUAAAAUUAUAACCGGCCAUCUAAUAGAUGUCUCCAUUCCUUUAAUGUCAUUAUUACUGCCAACAGCUCUCUAUCUCCAAUGUCAUACCUUUU